UACGGGGGGAGCAAGCGUUGUUCGGAUUUACUGGGCGUAAAGGGCGCGUAGGCGGUCGUGACAAGUCACUUGUGAAAUCUCCGGGCUUAACUCGGAACGGUCAAGUGAUACUGUCGGACUAGAGUACAGAAGGGGCAACUGGAAUUCUCGGUGUAGCGGUGAAAUGCGUAGAUAUCUGGAGGAACACCGGUGGCGAAGGCGGCAUCCUGGACCAACACUGACGCUGAGGAGCGAAAGCCAGGGGAGCAAACGGG
This 254-nucleotide ribosomal RNA is filed under the name uncultured bacterium. RNAcentral describes it as "partial 16S ribosomal RNA". It matches the Rfam family "Bacterial small subunit ribosomal RNA", at positions 524 to 776 of the family's 1533-position model. The record is from RNAcentral.